This 445-nucleotide unclassified non-coding RNA is filed under the name Hevea brasiliensis (rubber tree). The record is from RNAcentral. Lineage: Eukaryota; Viridiplantae; Streptophyta; Magnoliopsida; Malpighiales; Euphorbiaceae.
UUUCAAGAGCCCUGCAUCAGACACGUACGUAGUCUUUGGUGAGGCCAAGAUCGAGGACCUGAGCUCUCAGCUGCAGACACAGGCCGCUGAACAGUUCAAGGCCCCCGAUAUGAGUCAUGUACUCUCGAAGGCUGUAGCAUCAUCAGCAGCCCAGGACGAUGAAGAAGUCGAUGAGGCAGGGGUUGAGCCGAAGGAUAUUGAACUGGUGAUGACCCAGGCAGGGGUGUCGAGGCCCAAGGCUGUCAAGGCGCUCAAAGCCGCAGAUGGCGAUAUUGUCACUGCUAUCAUGGAGCUGACCAAUUAAUAGAAAGAGAAUCUGGGAGAUGUUUCUAUUAGUAAAUGGUACUGCCCUUGUUGGUCAAUUAAGUUUUGGCUGUUUAUUGGGUUGAACUGUUACACAAAGAUUCCCUUUAUUUCUGUUGUAAAAUGUACUUUUUUACAAAGC